AUUUUCACUUCUAUUUUGAUAUCAUCCCUGUUUCUUGGUUCUUUAAUCUGAAAGUGCAUUUUUGCUCUGUAAAUUUCUCAGAUUUUAUAUUUGCGAUUUCUUUUCACCUCUUCGGCUCUUCUAUGCCUGUGAUUUUACGGGCACCGCUCCAGUCUUUUUGAGAUGAGAUAUUUCAUGGAGCAGUGGUGAUUGGUGUGAGUUGGAGUUAAUUAAUUAGCAUGAGCUUAAUUAAGAGUCGCAGGUGUAUAUGUUUUCUUCUAAUUUUAUGCAGCUACCAGUGUGUUACUCAUUGUUGCUAUAUUUUGUCAUUGUCCAUCUUUUAUUUGGGAUUUAUUGUUCCCAAUUAAUAUGUGCCCAAUUUUCGGACUUACCCCAUAUGUCCCUAUAGAUGAAAUUGAAAUUCUGAGAAAGGAUGGUACUAGGCAUAAGAUUGAUUGGUUA
This is a long non-coding RNA of Nicotiana tabacum (common tobacco), 441 nucleotides long. RefSeq lists it as uncharacterized. The record is from RefSeq and is a predicted model, not a curated record. NCBI's taxonomy places the organism in Eukaryota, Viridiplantae, Streptophyta, Magnoliopsida, Solanales, Solanaceae.